GCCGAGAAGCUGGACUGGGCCCGCGAGAGGCUCGAGCAGCAGGUACCUGUGAACCAAGUGUUUGGGCAGGAUGAGAUGAUCGACGUCAUCGGGGUGACCAAGGGCAAAGGCUACAAAGGGGUCACCAGUCGUUGGCACACCAAGAAGCUGCCCCGCAAGACCCACCGAGGCCUGCGCAAGGUGGCCUGUAUUGGGGCAUGGCAUCCUGCUCGUGUAGCCUUCUCUGUGGCACGCGCUGGGCAGAAAGGCUACCAUCACCGCACUGAGAUCAACAAGAAGAUCUAUAAGAUUGGCCAGGGCUACCUUAUCAAGGACGGCAAGCUGAUCAAGAACAAUGCCUCCACUGACUAUGACCUAUCUGACAAGAGCAUCAACCCUCUGGUAAGUAAUGGGUGUUCUGCUCUGUGAGGCCAUCCCAGGCCUCGUGCUUUUGGGGAUAGGCUGCUUCCUAGGGGCUGCUAGCAGGAUCGUUAACUGAAGCCAGCACAACACCUAGCUGUGUCCCUUGUAAGUGGCAUGUUGUCAUCUGAGUCCACUCGUUGGGGUUGGCUGGUGAG
This 557-nucleotide small RNA is filed under the name Pan troglodytes (chimpanzee). RNAcentral describes it as "retained intron". The record is from RNAcentral. Lineage: Eukaryota; Metazoa; Chordata; Mammalia; Primates; Hominidae.